This 73-nucleotide transfer RNA is filed under the name Stegodyphus mimosarum. It matches the Rfam family "tRNA". From Rfam's summary of the family: Transfer RNA (tRNA) molecules are approximately 80 nucleotides in length. The record is from Rfam by way of RNAcentral. Lineage: Eukaryota; Metazoa; Arthropoda; Arachnida; Araneae; Eresidae.
GCCUUCGUGGUGUAGUGGUGAGCACGCUUGAUGCGUAUUCGAGAGGUCCAUGGUUCGAAUCCCGAUGAGGGCA